This is a long non-coding RNA of Mus musculus (house mouse), 551 nucleotides long. RefSeq annotates it as predicted gene 13203. The record is from RefSeq and is a predicted model, not a curated record. Lineage: Eukaryota; Metazoa; Chordata; Mammalia; Rodentia; Muridae. The transcript has 2 exons.
GAAAAUAGUAUAACACUAAAACCUGCUGCCAGGCCACCCUUGCAGGCCUUACCCACUCGAGCCUUGUGCGAAUGUGAACACUGACAGUGAUGGAUGGAGAGGAUUGUAUCUGAGAGCUUCCAGCUGCUCCUCAAUUCCCCAACCACAGGAGUUUUUUCCAGAUGGCCAUGCAGUGGAGGGAACAUUCGGAAAGCACCGACUUAUCCUUAACAAGCAACAAUAAAAAGCCACUACCCCGUCAUGGACUGGAGAGAUGGCUCAAUGGGUAACUCGUGCACGAUUGAGGAUCUGAACUCAAGUCCUCAGAAGCCAUGAAAAGCCGGAUUCAAAAGCAUUCACAUCUGUAAUUCCAGAGGCUGUAUGGGGAGACAGGAGGCACAGACAGGACAGUCCCUGGAAGCCAGUGGGUCAGCUUGCCUGGUGUACGCAGGCCAAACAAGAGACGGCUGUCUUAAAACAGGAGCAGCCCUGAUGUUGCCCUCUGACCUCCACACACAUGUGCAUGCAUUAAAAAUAUGUAUUUUAUUUAGAAAUAAAAGUAUGCGUACUUG